Molecule: ribosomal RNA, 434 nt
Filed under: uncultured Clostridiaceae bacterium
Lineage: Bacteria; Bacillati; Bacillota; Clostridia; Eubacteriales; Clostridiaceae
Description: partial 16S ribosomal RNA
Rfam family: Bacterial small subunit ribosomal RNA
Source: RNAcentral
ACGGAAGGCAGCAGUGGGGAAUAUUGCACAAUGGGGGAAACCUUGAUGCAGCAACGCCGCGUGAGUGAUGACGGCCUUCGGGUUGUAAAGCUCUGUCUUCAGGGACGAUAAUGACGGUACCUGAGGAGGAAGCCACGGCUAACUACGUGCCAGCAGCCGCGGUAAUACGUAGGUGGCGAGCGUUGUCCGGAUUUACUGGGCGUAAAGGGAGCGUAGGCGGAUUUUUAAGUGAGAUGUGAAAUACUCGGGCUUAACCUGAGUGCUGCAUUUCAAACUGGAAGUCUAGAGUGCAGGAGAGGAGAAGGGAAUUCCUAGUGUAGCGGUGAAAUGCGUAGAGAUUAGGAAGAACACCAGUGGCGAAGGCGCUUCUCUGGACUGUAACUGACGCUGAGGCUCGAAAGCGUGGGGAGCAAACAGGAUUAGAUACCCUGGUA